RNAcentral lists this ribosomal RNA (445 nucleotides) under uncultured bacterium. RNAcentral's name for it is "bacterial SSU rRNA". It matches the Rfam family "Bacterial small subunit ribosomal RNA", at positions 958 to 1399 of the family's 1533-position model. The record is from RNAcentral.
AACGCGAAGAACCUUACCAGCCCUUGACAUCCCGGUCGCGGACUCCAGAGACGGAGUUCUUCAGUUCGGCUGGACCGGAGACAGGUGCUGCAUGGCUGUCGUCAGCUCGUGUCGUGAGAUGUUGAGUUAAGUCCCGCAACGAGCGCAACCCUUAUCGUUAGUUGCCAACAGGUAAAGCUGGGAACUCUAGCGAGACUGCCUGGGUUAACCAGGAGGAAGGUGAGGAUGACGUCAAGUCCGCAUGGCCCUUAUGUCUGGGGCUACACACGUGCUACAAUGGCCGGUACAGAAGGCAGCGAAGCCGCGAGGCGAAGCAAAUCCCAAAAGCCGGCCCCAGUUCAGAUUGCAGUCUGCAACUCGACUGCAUGAAGCUGGAAUCGCUAGUAAUGGCGUAUCAGAUCGACGCCGUGAAUACGUUCCCGGGCCUUGUACACACCGACGCGUA